Molecule: long non-coding RNA, 339 nt
Filed under: Calidris pugnax (ruff)
Lineage: Eukaryota; Metazoa; Chordata; Aves; Charadriiformes; Scolopacidae
Description: lncRNA (ENSCPUG00000008989.1)
Source: RNAcentral
GGACAUGGGAUCUACAUGGGAUUUACAUGGGAUGGACACGGGAUCUACAUGGGAAGGCCACAGGAAGGACAUGGGAUGGACAUGGAAAGGACAUGGGAUCUACACGCAACAUGGGAUGGACACGGGAUCUACAUGGGACAUGGGAAGGACAUGGGAUGGACACGGGAUGGACACGGGAAGGACACAGGAGGGACAUGGGACAUGGGAGGGACACGGGAAGGACACGGAAUCUACAUGGGACAUAGGAAGGACAUGGGAUGGACACAGGAUGGACAUGGGAAGGACAUGGGAAGGACACGGAAGGACAUGGGAUCUACACAGGACAUGGGAGGGACAGGG